RNAcentral lists this ribosomal RNA (497 nucleotides) under uncultured bacterium. Its description in RNAcentral is "partial 16S ribosomal RNA". It matches the Rfam family "Bacterial small subunit ribosomal RNA", at positions 28 to 507 of the family's 1533-position model. The record is from RNAcentral.
GAUGAACGCUGGCGGCGUGCCUAAUACAUGCAAGUCGAGCGAACAGACGAGGAGCUUGCUCCUCGGACGUUAGCGGCGGACGGGUGAGUAACACGUGGAUAACCUACCUAUAAGACUGGGAUAACUUCGGGAAACCGGAGCUAAUACCGGAUAAUAUAUUGAACCGCAUGGUUCAAUAGUGAAAGACGGUGUUGCUGUCACUUAUAGAUGGAUCCGCGCCGCAUUAGCUAGUUGGUAAGGUAACGGCUUACCAAGGCAAGGAUGCGUAGCCGACCUGAGAGGGUGAUCGGCCACACUGGAACUGAGACACGGUCCAGACGCCUACGGGAGGCAGCAGUAGGGAAUGUGACGCAAUGUGCGAAAGCUUGACGGAGCAACGCGGAGUGAGUGAUGAAGGUCUUCGGAUCGUAAAACUCUGUUAUUAGGGAAGAACAAAUGUGUAAGUAACUAUGCACGUCUUGACGGUACCUAAUCAGAAAGCCACGGCUAACUACGUG